CCUACGGAGGGCAGCAGUGAGGAAUAUUGGUCAAUGGACGCAAGUCUGAACCAGCCAUGCCGCGUGCAGGAAGACGGCUCUAUGAGUUGUAAACUGCUUUUGUACGAGGGUAAACGCAGAUACGCGUAUCUGUCUGAAAGUAUCGUACGACUAAGGAUCGGCUAACUCCGUGCCAGCAGCCGCGGUAAUACGGAGGAUUCAAGCGUUAUCCGGCUUUAUUGGGUUUAAAGGGUGCGUAGGCGGUCGGAUAAGUUAGAGGUGAAAUCCCGAGGCUCAACGUCGGAAUUGCCUCUGAUACUGUGCGGCUAGAGAGUAGGUGCGGUAGGCGGAAUGUAUGGUGUAGCGGUGAAAUGCUUAGAGAUCAUACAGAACACCGGUUGCGAAGGCAGCUUACCAAGCUACUUCUGACGUUGAGGCACGAAAGCGUAGGGAGCAAACAGGAUUAGAUACCCCAGUAGUC
Molecule: ribosomal RNA, 460 nt
Filed under: uncultured bacterium
Lineage: Bacteria
Description: partial 16S ribosomal RNA
Rfam family: Bacterial small subunit ribosomal RNA
Source: RNAcentral